CCUACGGGAGGCAGCAGUGGGGAAUCUUGCGCAAUGGGGGCAACCCUGACGCAGCCAUGCCGCGUGAAUGAUGAAGGCCUUAGGGUUGUAAAGUUCUUUUGCCCGUGACGAUGAUGACGGUAACGGGAGAAUAAGCUCCGGCUAACUUCGUGCCAGCAGCCGCGGUAAUACGAAGGGGGCUAGCGUUGUUCGGAAUUACUGGGCGUAAAGCGCGCGCAGGCGGUUCGAUAAGUUAGGGGUGAAAUCCCUGGGCUCAACCCAGGAAUGGCCUUUAAGACUGUCGAGCUAGAGGACGAGAGAGGUGAGUGGAAUUCCCAGUGUAGAGGUGAAAUUCGUAGAUAUUGGGAAGAACACCGGUGGCGAAGGCGGCUCACUGGCUCGUUUCUGACGCUGAGGCGCGAAAGCGUGGGGAGCAAACAGGAUUAGAUACCCUGGUAGUCCACGCCCUAAACGAUGAGUGCCAGGUGUCGGGAAGCUUAGCUUCUCGGCGCCGCAGCUAACGCCUUAAGCACUCCGCCUGGGGAGUACGGCCGCAGGUUAAAACCUUAAAUGAAUUGACGG
This 561-nucleotide ribosomal RNA is filed under the name uncultured bacterium. RNAcentral describes it as "bacterial SSU rRNA". It matches the Rfam family "Bacterial small subunit ribosomal RNA", at positions 338 to 916 of the family's 1533-position model. The record is from RNAcentral.